This 948-nucleotide long non-coding RNA is filed under the name Cyanistes caeruleus (blue tit). RNAcentral's name for it is "lncRNA (ENSCCEG00000018879.1)". The record is from RNAcentral. Lineage: Eukaryota; Metazoa; Chordata; Aves; Passeriformes; Paridae.
AUGAGGAAAAAUUGGGAUUUUUUAUCAGUGGAAAAUGAGGAAAAAUCUGGUUUUUUAUCCAUGGAAAAACGGGGAAAAUUCCGUCCAAAAAAAUUCCCGGAGCGCGGAUCCCGCUCAUCCCAAAUUUCCCUCCCUCGAUCCCAAAUUUCCCUCCCUCAUCCCAAAUUUCCCUCCCAAAAUUCCCAUUUUUUUAUUCCACACGGAUCAAGUGCAAAAUUUCCCUCCCAAAAUUCCCAUUUUUUUAUUCCACACGGAUCAAGUGCAAAAAUUCCCGUUUUAUUCAGCCGAGCCACAAAAAUAAACCAAAAAAUUGGGAAUUUUUUUUUUGGGGGAGGGAAUUCCCAAAUUUUGGGGAAGAUCUCUCGAAUAAUUGAUCCAAAUUUGGGGGGUCCUGGGGGGAUUUUGGGGAAAUUUUUUUGGGAGUUUUUGGUUUUUUUUUUUAAUUUUUUUUUAAUUUUCUGGAUUUUUUGGGGGUUUUUUUGGGAGUUUUUGGGGUGUUUUUGGGGUUGUUUUUGGGGUUCCUGGGGUUGUUUUUGGGGUUCCCCCCUAGAUGAGGUCCAUCAGGAUGUCCUCCUCCACCAUCCCAAGGGGUCUGGAGACCCCAAAUUUGGGGGUUCCUGGGAGAUUUUUGGGGUAACUUUGGGGUGUUUUGCGGAUUUUUCUGGGUAUUUUUGGGGUUUCUGGGGGUAUUUUGGGGUUGUUUUUGGGGUUUUUGGGGUUCCCAGACCCCAUUUUUGGGGUCCCCCCUAGAUGAGGUCCAUCAGGAUGUCCUCCUCCAUCACCCCAGGGGUCUGGAGACCCCAAAUUUGGGGGUUCCUGGGGGAUUUUUGGGGUAAUUUUGGGGUUCCUGGAGGAUUUUUGGGGUAAUUUUGGGUUGUUUUGGGGUAUUUUGGGGUGUUUUUGGAGUUGUUUUUGGGGUUUUUGGGGUUCCCAGACCCCAUUUUUGGG